RNAcentral lists this ribosomal RNA (466 nucleotides) under uncultured bacterium. RNAcentral's name for it is "bacterial SSU rRNA". It matches the Rfam family "Bacterial small subunit ribosomal RNA", at positions 330 to 795 of the family's 1533-position model. The record is from RNAcentral.
UCCAGACUCCUACGGGAGGCAGCAGUGAGGAAUAUUGGUCAAUGGUCGGGAGACUGAACCAGCCAAGCCGCGUGAGGGAUGAAGGUACAGAGUAUCGUAAACCUCUUUUGUCAGGGAACAAAGACUGGGACGCGUCCCCGGAUGAGUGUACCUGAAGAAAAAGCAUCGGCUAACUCCGUGCCAGCAGCCGCGGUAAUACGGAGGAUGCGAGCGUUAUCCGGAUUUAUUGGGUUUAAAGGGUGCGUAGGCGGGCUUUUAAGUCAGCGGUAAAAAUUCGGGGCUCAACCCCGUCCGGCCGUUGAAACUGGGGGCCUUGAGUGGGCGAGAAGAAGGCGGAAUGCGUGGUGUAGCGGUGAAAUGCAUAGAUAUCACGCAGAACCCCGAUUGCGAAGGCAGCAUGCCGGCUUCCGACUGACGCUGAAGCACGAAAGCGUGGGGAUCGAACAGGAUUAGAUACCCUCGUAAC